This 596-nucleotide ribosomal RNA is filed under the name uncultured freshwater bacterium. RNAcentral describes it as "bacterial SSU rRNA". It matches the Rfam family "Bacterial small subunit ribosomal RNA", at positions 8 to 607 of the family's 1533-position model. The record is from RNAcentral.
AGAGUUUGAUCCUGGCUCAGGAUGAACGCUAGCGGGAGGCUUAAUACAUGCAAGUCGAGCGGCAAGGUCUUCGGACCCUAGAGCGGCGCACGGGUGAGUAACGCGUACGCAAUCUGCCCUUCAGUGAGGAAUAGCCCUGGGAAACUGGGAUUAAUACCUCAUAAUAUUAUUUGUUCGCAUGGACGAAUAAUUAAAGUUCUGGCGCUGAAGGAUGGGCGUGCGUCUGAUUAGCUUGUUGGUAGGGUAACGGCCUACCAAGGCUACGAUCAGUAGGGGGCGUGAGAGCGUGGCCCCCCACACGGGUACUGAGACACGGACCCGACUCCUACGGGAGGCAGCAGUAAGGAAUAUUGGGCAAUGGAGGCAACUCUGACCCAGCCAUCCCGCGUGAAGGAUUAAGGCCCUAUGGGUUGUAAACUUCUUUUGUUUGGGAAGAAAUCUGGACAUUUAUGUGCAGUUGACGGUACCUUACGAAUAAGCACCGGCUAACUCCGUGCCAGCAGCCGCGGUAAUACGGAGGGUGCAAGCGUUAUCCGGAAUCACUGGGUUUAAAGGGUGCGUAGGCGGUUUGAUAAGUCAGAGGUGAAAGCUAGCAG